Molecule: non-coding RNA, 22 nt
Filed under: Arabidopsis thaliana (thale cress)
Lineage: Eukaryota; Viridiplantae; Streptophyta; Magnoliopsida; Brassicales; Brassicaceae
Source: RNAcentral
UGCACUGAAUUUUUAGAUUGAU